This 2336-nucleotide long non-coding RNA is filed under the name Gallus gallus (chicken). The record is from RNAcentral. Lineage: Eukaryota; Metazoa; Chordata; Aves; Galliformes; Phasianidae.
AGGGUAUGACCGAGGGUCAAGUAAAGCUGGGAUGUGACAAAUGGUCCUUCAGACCCAGCUGGGAGAGAGGAUCUCUAAGGAAACCUGACUGCGCUCUUUACUUUUUUAUUUCCUUCUUAGAGAUCAGUCACUGACUGCGGAGAGGCUUGGUGUGACCAUGUGAGGCUGACCCAAUAUUGUCAUGUGCAUUACACUUAAGCACGGAACAUCACUUCAGCAUGUGAUUCCCCAUGCAACGGAGCACCACGUGCUCACAUGUUUGUGCAGAAGAGACCCCUGUCAUCUCCUCCUGCCUUCAGUGCUGCCCUGUCAUGCAGCAGGAUGGGAAGAGGGAGGAAAUAGCUGUUGAGGAAUGAGUAAGACGUCAUAAAACUGGGAAGAACUGAUGAAAAGGCUCCCGGGCAAUGUGGAGUCAUAGAAACUACUUUUACCUACGUUAGGUGCAAGUAGAUUAAAAGCCCAAUUAGACGAAUGCGUGAGGAAAUGAACAGCCCCAGUGAGGGCUGUUAGGUACGAAAAUAGAGCCUGUUCUUUAGGAAGUCCCAGUGCUGUGGAAGCUGGGAGGAAAUACUGCUGCACACUGUGGGGAAAAAAAUCACUCUGUGUUUACUUCAUUCUUAGAUUCUUUCCCCAACCAUCCGUGCAGGUUUGAGCCAGGAUAUGGGAUGAGGUGGACUUUUGGCAUCCUCCAAGCCUGCUGUCCCAGUGUAGUUAAAGCUUUUGCAUUUGCUCUUGCAGGAUGUUUUUCAAGCCAACAGCAGGGCCCCAAGACCCAACAGGACCUCCUGAAGAUUAAGCUUCUGACACUGCUGGCAGAGAGUGGGAAGAUGUAAUACGAUUAGGGCUGUUCAUUACCCAUUUAGUGCAGUUCUCUGUGGUAUAAACCAAGGAGCAAACAGUUGUGUAAUGCAAUGAAUUUUACCAUCUGAGGCAGUGUUCUUCAAUGUUACUGAUUUAUUUCCUGACUCUGUUUUAGCAGGAAGAAUAAAUCAGUGAUGUAUAUGAAAAUAAUAGGUGUAAAGCUUGGCGAGUAUGCUUUUUAAAUCAACAAGGGGACUAUUUGUAGGAAGGAAUUGUGAGGGGCAGCUCUGCUGAUCUGCAGGGAUGACUCCCGCCCUCAGAGUCUUGCUGGCUCCUCAGCUUGGAGCAGGGGGGUCCAGAGCAGGCAUCGGUCAGAUGCCAGCAGUGGGAGCAAGAGCACAACCAGGCAUUUGUGGCUCCUCAGCAUGUUUAGGUCUGGUUUCAGGCUUACUAUCUAUCUGGGGGCAAAAGAAGGGUCAUAUCAGAGGACAAGCGUCAUCAGUUGGUUAAUGCAAUCCCUGCCUUGCCGUAGCUUAGAGCCACAGAAUCAUAGAAUCGUUAAGGUUGGAAAAGACCACUAAGAUCAUCUAGUGCAACCGUCAGCCCAUCCCCACCGUGCCCACUAACCACGUCCCUCAGUGCCACAUGUUUCUUCAACACCUCCAGGGAUGGUGACUUCACCACCUCCCUGGGCAGCCUGCAGUCCUUUGGCAGAGGAAGAGGAUUUCUCCGAAGGCAGCACUGGAACAAUCGCUCCCCACUCAUCUUCUCCUUCCACGGCUGCCUCUCCCCCUGCAUUCCCCUCUCUAUAGGCAAUUUUCUCAUUUAUUUUUAAUUCAAAACAGUGCUUUGCCCGGAGCCUGGUGCUCAGCAUUUUUAUGCUCCCUGCAUCACAUUCUUGCAUCUUUUGAGCUUUGUCAUAGCCUUUCCACAUUUUAAUUAUAAGCUCAGCAGGCUUCAGGCUUUGCUGUUCCUCUGAGCUGAGAAAAAACUGCUCCUUUUUCUUUCCUCUCAUUUUUGUAAUCUUCAGCAAUCAAAGUGGAUGAAUUUUGGGAAAAAACGGGCAGCAUAUUGCAGAGACUGAAGACUGGAUCACGAUAGCAAGGGGGUAAAGUCUCUGCCUGGAGCGGCAGUAAGGCAACACUGCGUGCCUGCACGCAGCCGCUGUUGACAUCUUGGGGUGAGGGCUCUGCAUCUGCUUGGCUACAGGCAGGGCCCUGGCCAUCUUCAAAGGGCUUUGAAGUGCCCCCUGGCAAUCUCCUCUGGAAGAUAAGAGAUUACAGAGAGAGAGGAAGGAGUUCCUGAAAACAGCUCCAGCAGCACGUAUGUUUAUCUAGUCUGGGUAAUGCAGAAGGAGACCAAAGCCUGGGCUGGUGACAUCCGAGAAGACAUCCAGGGAUUCAAGCAGAAAAUGCUAAGCAUCUCUCAGGUACUGGAAGGCUGCUAUAAGUGCUAUAAGAUCCCCUCGGAACCUUCUCUUCUCCAGACUGAAGAGCUUCAACUUUUCCAGCCUAUCCUCACAGGGGAGGUGCUCC